GACAGAGGAGUCGAGCGUUAUCCGGAGUUAUUGGGCGUAAAGGGUACGAAGGCGGCUGGUCAAGUCUGGGGUUAAAGACCACAGCUUAACUGUGGGGGGGCCUUGGAAACUGACCGGCUGGAGUGGGGCAGGGGUUGCGGGAAUUCCCGGUGUAGAGGUGAAAUGCGUAGAUUUCGGGAAGAGCACCUGAGGCGAAAGCGCGCAACUGGGCCGUAACUGACGCUGAGGUACGAAAGCUAGGGGAGCGAAUGGG
Molecule: ribosomal RNA, 253 nt
Filed under: uncultured bacterium
Lineage: Bacteria
Description: partial 16S ribosomal RNA
Rfam family: Bacterial small subunit ribosomal RNA
Source: RNAcentral